GUGCCAGCCGCCGCGGUAAGACGAACCGAGCGAACGUUGUUCGGAAUCACUGGGCUUAAAGGGCGCGUAGGCGGGCAUCAUAGUCUGUGGUGAAAUCCGGCAGCUUAACUGUCGAAUUGCCAUGGAUACUGGGUGUCUCGAGGGAGGCAGGGGUGCGCGGAACUGAUGGUGGAGCGGUGAAAUGCGUUGAUAUCAUCAGGAACUCCGGUGGCGAAGGCGGCGCACUGGUCCUUUUCUGACGCUGAGGCGCGAAAGCCAGGGGAGCAAACGGGAUUAGAUACCCCGGUAGUCC
RNAcentral lists this ribosomal RNA (292 nucleotides) under uncultured bacterium. Its description in RNAcentral is "partial 16S ribosomal RNA". It matches the Rfam family "Bacterial small subunit ribosomal RNA", at positions 505 to 796 of the family's 1533-position model. The record is from RNAcentral.